AAUAUUGCGCAAUGGGGGAAACCCUGACGCAGCAACGCCGCGUGAGGGAAGAAGGCCUUCGGGUCGUAAAGCACUGUCAUAAGGCAAGAAGUCUCUCGAAUGAGAGGUCACGGUACCUCAGGAGGAAGCCCCGGCUAACUACGUUCCAGCAGCCGCGGUAAUACGUGUGGGGCAAGCGUUGCCCGGAAUUAUGGGGCGGAAAGGGUGCGUAGGCGGCCUUUUAAGGCAGGUGUGAAAGCCCACGGCUUAACCGUGGGAUUGCAUUUGAAACUGGAAGGCUUGAGGAUCGGCGAGGGUAGAGGAAUUCCCAGUGUAGCGGUAGAAUGCGUAGAUAUUGGGAGGAACACCAGUGGCGAAGGCGACUACCUGGACGAAAACUGACGCUGAGGCACGAAAGCUAGGGGAGCAAAC
Molecule: ribosomal RNA, 411 nt
Filed under: uncultured bacterium
Lineage: Bacteria
Description: partial 16S ribosomal RNA
Rfam family: Bacterial small subunit ribosomal RNA
Source: RNAcentral